GCAGGAAAGAAAACAAAAUCUGUGGCAAAUAUCACUCCUUGUCACGCUACAACCAUGGAUUUCAUGGUAUUUCAUCAGAAUUUUAAUGACAGAUCAACACAGAACAGAGCUGUUUGGCUGAGCUGCAGAGGAGAGGCGGUGUCUCUGAUCUGUCCUUGAUGUGGGACACAGGAGACCAAACCAGGUUCAGAAGUGUGGACCACAACCACUAAAUUGAACUGAGGGCCUCUCUGAAGAACAGCAGUGACAGCAGCUCUUCACAGAACGCCCUGCUUUUGACCUCUUAGAUAGCUGUAAAACCAUCGCCGUGAAGAUGUACAACUUGCUCUGUUUGACCCCGUUCAGGAACUGGAGAAUCUAGGUUAAGAUAGAUUGUGUUGUUAGUUAUUGACAAUCAUUGGCGCUGUAACUGUGUGAUGAAGUGUUUUUCCCCUCCUCCCUUUAGAGUUACAGUGCUCUCUGUGAUUAGGGAUCCUAAAGACAAUAAAAAGAGAGGGGCAGGCAAAUGUGCGUUCAGAGCAGUAGGAGCACAUCACUGUCUGUUCUCCUCGGGAGUAUUCAGAA
Molecule: long non-coding RNA, 564 nt
Organism: Poecilia reticulata (guppy)
Lineage: Eukaryota; Metazoa; Chordata; Actinopteri; Cyprinodontiformes; Poeciliidae
Source: RefSeq, a predicted model, not a curated record